CGGGCUUGAAAGUUAGCGACGGACUUGGAAACAGGUCUUCCCUUCGGGGCGCGAAACUAGGUGCUGCAUGGUUGUCGUCAGCUCGUGCCGUGAGGUGUCGGCUUAAGUGCCAUAACGAGCGCAACCCUUUUCCGUAGUUACCAUCAUUUAGUUGGGGACUCUGCGGACACUGCCAUCGCAAGAUGUGAGGAAGGAUGGGAUGACGUCAAAUCAGCACGGCCCUUACGUCCGGGGCGACACACGUGUUACAAUGGGCAGGACAGAGAGGAUCGAGGUAGUGAUACUGAGGGAAACUAUAAACCUGCUCCCAGUUCGGAUCGGAGUCUGCAACCCGACUCCGUGAAGCUGGAUUCGCUAGUAAUCGCGCAUCAGCCAUGGCGCGGUGAAUACGUUCCCGGGCC
This 401-nucleotide ribosomal RNA is filed under the name uncultured bacterium. Its description in RNAcentral is "bacterial SSU rRNA". It matches the Rfam family "Bacterial small subunit ribosomal RNA", at positions 976 to 1380 of the family's 1533-position model. The record is from RNAcentral.